Long non-coding RNA from Hibiscus syriacus, 1685 nucleotides. RefSeq lists it as uncharacterized. The transcript has 2 exons. Lineage: Eukaryota; Viridiplantae; Streptophyta; Magnoliopsida; Malvales; Malvaceae. The record is from RefSeq and is a predicted model, not a curated record.
UUACCAAUCCCUAAAUGUCUCAUCUCCUCUUUUCCUCCCAGAGCUAAAGGAGAAUAAAAACUAUGUACUUUCGUCAUUCGAUGGGGGCGAUGAAUCCUAAUUUUAAGCCACCAUCUGAACCGCCGUACUCCCACCGUCCCACUUCCUUUGACAGCCACCCUGACGAGCAUUUUACUGACAGUAUAUUUAGGGUUUUGAUUUUUUCGAUUAUUCAUGUCUUCAUUCUAGCCUCGUGCUGCAGAUGCAUGCGGGUUUCUCCUACUCUUACUAGGGGGAACACUUGCAUCCGCUGCUUAUCUUGUCCGGUGAAUGUGUUGUUGAUUCUGCAUGGUGUCAACCAUUUGUCUACUUAAGUUUUCUAUUGGUGGAUAUUAUGAUUAGAUCUAAAUCUGCUUCUCAUGGUUUUUCCUGUUGGUUUAUUUUUUUUAUAGUAUUGUUAAUCACUUAUGGGUAAGCUUGAUUCUUCAGUGGUUAAUGAGAUGAUUGUAAUUUAUGAUGCCUCGACUUUGAUUAAUAAGAUUAUUGUAAUUUAAGAGAUCCGUUGUCAGGAUGAAAUGAUAUUUUUGUUGUUGUUUCUAUACGUAUCUGGAUGGAAUUAUUAGGAGUUCCCCAUGAUGUUUAUUCUUUGAGAAUAUUAAUUAACCGCUGUUGUUAAUUUGAUCAAAUUGACUUUGGAUUUUCUUUUGAGUUUGGUGUUGAACCUAUUAUUGUCAACUUUUUCAUGUUUGAUGAAUGGACUUUGUAAUUGAAGAAAGAUUUCACAGGCUGUGGGUUUGUUUGAUUAUAUGGUUAUAUGAUGAACCUUUUUAUAUGAUUAUACCAUCAAACAAACUCACAGCCUGUCAUCUUUAAUGCAUUUGUUUACUUAUCCGGAGAAUGUGUUGUUGAUUUUGCAGGGUAUCAACCAUUUGUCCAUUAAAGUUUUCUAUUGUAGAUAUUAUGAUUGGAUUAUAUCUGCUUCUCUUUGUUACUUCUGUUAGUUUAUAUAUUUUUUAUUUUUAUUGUAUCAUUAAUCACAUGAGAUAUGUGUAAGCUUGAUUCUUCAUUGGUUUUCAUCUAAUUCUUAGGAGUUCCCCAUGAUGUUUAUUCUUUGAGCAUAUUGAUUAACUGCUGUUAAUCUGAUUAAAUUGAUUUUGGAUUUUAUUUUGAGUUUGGUGUUGAACCUGUUAGUGUAACUUUUUCCAGUUUGUUAAAUGGGCUUUGUAAUUGAAGUAAGAUUUCACAGGCUGUAGGUUUGUUUGAUUAUAUGAUUAUGUGAUGAACGUUUUUAUAUGAUUAUAUCAUCAAACAAACUCUUCUGCAUCUUUAAUGCAUUUGCUGAUGUAGCCUUAACAGGUCAGGGUUUGAGCAUUUGCGUUGUUAAUGGCUUCUGAAGUUGAGGAUAAUGUUGAAACAAUGAUAAGGUCAAGUUCCACUUAAAAUUCCCGAUUGAAGAUGCAUUCCAGAAUGUAUUUUUCUUUAAACUUGAUAGGUUAGAUGUAUUUUUCUUUAAACUUGAUGCAUGAAGGCGUGCGGAUGCACGAUGGCGGAUGCACGAUGCCAUUGUGCACGAUGGCGGAGGCACGAUGUAAUACAUUGUUUUUGUAGAUUUUUGCUGCACUAGGAUCAUGUUGCAGUUAAUUAUACUGUGUUGUUGUUCUAAAUACAUGGGGUAUUGUUUGCCUAUAUAUAGUUGCAUUGUUUGA